RNAcentral lists this ribosomal RNA (698 nucleotides) under uncultured Bacillota bacterium. RNAcentral's name for it is "bacterial SSU rRNA". It matches the Rfam family "Bacterial small subunit ribosomal RNA", at positions 58 to 760 of the family's 1533-position model. The record is from RNAcentral. Lineage: Bacteria; Bacillati; Bacillota.
CAAGUCGAGCGAGAAAAGGGGAGCAAUCCCCUGAGUAAAGCGGCGCACGGGUGAGUAACACGUGGGUAAUCUGCCCUGGAGUGGGGAAUAACACCGGGAAACCGGUGCUAAUACCGCAUACGAUAACGAUGUCUGCGGACGACGUUAUGAAAGGAGCAAUUCGCUCCAGGAGGAGCCCGCGGCUGAUUAGCUAGUUGGUGAGGUAAUGGCUCACCAAGGCAACGAUCAGUAGCCGGUCUGAGAGGACGGUCGGCCACACUGGAACUGAGACACGGUCCAGACUCCUACGGGAGGCAGCAGUGGGGAAUUUUUGGCAAUGGGGGAAACCCUGACCAAGCAACGCCGCGUGGAUGAUGAAGUAUCUCGGUACGUAAAAUCCUUUCGACAGGGAAGAAACCGCAAGGUUGACGGUACCUGUAGAAGAAGCCCCGGCUAACUCCGUGCCAGCAGCCGCGGUAAUACGGGGGGGGCAAGCGUUGUUCGGAAUUACUGGGCGUAAAGGGCGCGUAGGCGGUUUGCUAAGUUGGACGUGAAAACUCUGGGCUUAACCCAGAGCCUGCAUCCAAAACUGGCAAGCUGGAGUAUUGGAGGGGGAAGCGGAAUUCCUGGUGUAGCAGUGAAAUGCGUAGAUAUCAGGGAGGAACACCGGUGGCGAAGGCGGCUUCCUGGACAAUAAACUGACGCUGAGGCGCGAAAGC